This 253-nucleotide ribosomal RNA is filed under the name uncultured bacterium. Its description in RNAcentral is "partial 16S ribosomal RNA". It matches the Rfam family "Bacterial small subunit ribosomal RNA", at positions 524 to 776 of the family's 1533-position model. The record is from RNAcentral.
UACGUAGGCAGCAAGCGUUGUUCGGAUUUACUGGGCGUAAAGGGUGUGUAGGCGGCCUGUUAAGUUCCGUGUGAAAUCUCCCGGCUCAACCGGGAGGGUGCGCGGAAUACUGACGGGCUAGAGUGCGGGAUGGGAGAGUAGAAUUCCUGGUGUAGCGGUGAAAUGCGUAGAUAUCAGGAGGAAUACCGGUGGUGUAGACGGCUCUCUGGACCGCAACUGACGCUGAAACACGAAAGCGUGGGUAGCAAACAGG